Long non-coding RNA from Syngnathus typhle (broad-nosed pipefish), 1610 nucleotides. RefSeq lists it as uncharacterized. The transcript has 3 exons. The record is from RefSeq and is a predicted model, not a curated record. NCBI's taxonomy places the organism in Eukaryota, Metazoa, Chordata, Actinopteri, Syngnathiformes, Syngnathidae.
GGAGCAGAGGACGACCUUACGGUGGGACCAUCAGUGACUAAAACACGAGAGCCGGGAAAGGGGCUGGUGCCAAGUUGAUCCGCCAACAAGGCGGCGUCACGGAGCCUCUGGUUGAAUUGUUUCAAAAGCAAGUCCCUGAAGGGCACAGAUGAGCAACCAUGUGGAUGUAACAUGAUGGGAAGUUCUUGACGGCGGAUGAAUAAUCCGACCGAUGUUCUGGAAAAAGGUUUGGUCUCCCUCUCACGCAGGCUGGCUCUCUGUUUUUGAUACACCGAGUGUCUCUCCCUCUGCUUGCGUCGCAUCCAGAUCUUCAACUCCCGCCUGUAGUCUUCAUCGUCGGGGAGAGCACACCUCGUGGAAAUCUGCCGACUUGCUUCUUGCUGCUCUUUCCUGCACCACAUCGCCGCUUUGAACUCCGCGAUACUCUCAAAUCGCUCUCAAUUGAGCGAGAACUGUACCUGCUGUCGAGCGUGUUUGAUAAAGAUGCGUCCAGGUCCAUCUGGGAUAUGUAACCUUCUCGCACCAAACCUUCCAGGAUCUCCGCUGUGUCGGACAAGCCCAUCUGGUCCAGGCUCUCGUCGACCGUCCUGUGGGUGACACACGAACACAGUAAGACAAAUAAAAAAAAAAAAAAUCCAAAACACAUGAAGGCAUAAUGUGUAUUGUGUGUCAAAUGAUUAAAAUAUGUCAUACGUACUCAUCAAACGUUUCCAAUGUUACAGUUGACAGAUGCUCUGUUGGAGGAAGACAAUAGGAUAACAAGAAUUCAUUGUAACACACGGCUGGAGAAAAUAUCUGAAUGAAUGUCGUGUCUUUACUUAGAAGGCUCUGGUGGCCGGGAUGAAGCUGAGAGGAGGAAGUUAGAUGCGGAGUGGACGGCUUUCGGUCAGGGCUGUGGUUGACAUUGUGGAAUAUGUCUACUCUCUUGUCCUCCUCUUCAUUCUCGUCCUCCUUGCAGAUGUCGGGUUCUGGUGCGGUGUGAGGUUGCGGCGGUGGGGCUCCUUUGUGAUUGAUUCAAAAAAUUCAUUUUCGAUUCGUUUCGUUUGUUUCCCUUUCUCGUUAUGUGUUAGCAUUGAUUGUGCAGGAAAGUUAAAAACAAGAAACUUACUGCUUUCGAGGAUGUUCUUUCUCACGACGACGUGAGGAGUGUGCUUUGGCUGUGCUUUGGGCUUUUCCUCCGGGAGAGACAAUCUUACUGUUUUUCUUACUGUGGGCUUCACAUUCGGAGAUAAAGCUGGGGAGAAUUGCUGUGGCUUGGAUGGCUACAGAAAGAGAAAAUCAUGCCAGAUUACUAGAUCUGAAUCAUGAGAAUGAAUAUGCAAAUGCUAAAAUACCUGCUUUGGAAUUUUGGACUGAGGCAGGUCCUGCUCCAGGCAGUCGGCGAUGUUCUGCAGCGCAGCCAGCUGGGAAUCCAGUUUGGACAGAUGGGACGAGAACCAAACCACGGCGGUUUCGGACGGGAGAUUGCAAGUCAAAUCCAGACCUGUUGGGGUGACGGUUUUGGGGGUUUUCUCAUCGGCGGGGCGAGCACUCUUGAUGACAGAAGUGGCGAGAAUGUGAAGCUGAGCAGGCGUGAGGACAGGAGGUAUGGAAGAAGCGUCUUUCAUUCC